Molecule: ribosomal RNA, 232 nt
Filed under: uncultured bacterium
Lineage: Bacteria
Description: partial 16S ribosomal RNA
Rfam family: Bacterial small subunit ribosomal RNA
Source: RNAcentral
CGGACGGGUGAGUAAUGUCUGGGAAACUGCCUGAUGGAGGGGGAUAACUACUGGAAACGGUAGCUAAUACCGCAUAACGUCGCAAGACCAAAGAGAGGGACCUUCGGGCCUCUUGCCAUCGGAUGUGCCCAGAUGGGAUUAGCUAGUAGGUGGGGUAACGGCUCACCUAGGCGACGAUCCCUAGCUGGUCUGAGAGGAUGACCAGCCACACUGGAACUGAGACACGGUCCAG